RNAcentral lists this ribosomal RNA (253 nucleotides) under uncultured bacterium. RNAcentral describes it as "partial 16S ribosomal RNA". It matches the Rfam family "Bacterial small subunit ribosomal RNA", at positions 524 to 776 of the family's 1533-position model. The record is from RNAcentral.
UACGAAGGGGGCUAGCGUUGCUCGGAAUCACUGGGCGUAAAGGGUGCGUAGGCGGGUCUUUAAGUCAGGGGUGAAAUCCUGGAGCUCAACUCCAGAACUGCCUUUGAUACUGAAGAUCUUGAGUUCGGGAGAGGUGAGUGGAACUGCGAGUGUAGAGGUGAAAUUCGUAGAUAUUCGCAAGAACACCGGUGGCGAAGGCGGCUCUCUGGACCGUAACUGACGCUGAGGCGCGAAAGCGUGGGGAGCAAACAGG